UACGAAAGGUGCAAGCGUUACUCGGAAUCACUGGGCGUAAAGCGCACGUAGGCGGACUUACAGGUCAAUUGUGAAAUACCUGGGCUCAACCCAGGAACUGCAGUUGAAACCGUUUGUCUUGAAUACCUGAGAGGGUGGGGGAAUACCUGGUGGAGAAGUGAAAUUCGUAGAGAUCAGGUGGAACACCGGAGGCGAAGGCGCCUGCCUGGCAGUGUAUUGACGCUGAGGUGCGAAAGCGUGGGGAGCAAACAGG
RNAcentral lists this ribosomal RNA (253 nucleotides) under uncultured bacterium. RNAcentral describes it as "partial 16S ribosomal RNA". It matches the Rfam family "Bacterial small subunit ribosomal RNA", at positions 524 to 776 of the family's 1533-position model. The record is from RNAcentral.